RNAcentral lists this long non-coding RNA (393 nucleotides) under Physcomitrium patens. Its description in RNAcentral is "long non-coding RNA (PPAT_LNC005470)". Lineage: Eukaryota; Viridiplantae; Streptophyta; Bryopsida; Funariales; Funariaceae. The record is from RNAcentral.
CUCCAUCGUUGCCUUGUUUAUGUAAAGCUUCACCAAACAUUGUAUAAGGUGUACAUUUUAAUAUUAAGCGUCGUUUAAUCUUUUCAUUGAAAUUAGGUGGAAAGGUUUGAAAUGUCAAGUAUUGAAUUAUUUCAUUAUACUCUGGAGUAAUUACAUCUACCACAAACAAUUUCGCAUCGGAUAGUGUAUCGUUAAUGGAUUUAUUACUUUAUAUAUUGGAUAAUCGAGAUAAAUGGUCCGUAUAGGAAUGUGAUUUUCUUGGUCUUAUUUGCUUAGUGAAGUCAAAUUCCUACAAGAGUAAAAUCCAUCAUGCAAUACGACCACUCAAUUGAGGCUUAUUAAUCAUAUAUUUUAAAACAUCAUGAUUGACAUGAAAAUAAAAUUUAUAACCAA